GAUGAACGCUGGCGGCGUGCCUAAUACAUGCAAGUCGAGCGAACAGACGAGGAGCUUGCUCCUCUGACGUUAGCGGCGGACGGGUGAGUAACACGUGGAUAACCUACCUAUAAGACUGGGAUAACUUCGGGAAACCGGAGCUAAUACCGGAUAAUAUAUUGAACCGCAUGGUUCAAUAGUGAAAGACGGUUUUGCUGUCACUUAUAGAUGGAUCCGCGCCGCAUUAGCUAGUUGGUAAGGUAAGGGCUUACCAAGGCAACGAUGCGUAGCCGACCUGAGGGGGUGUGCGGCCCCUUUGCACCUGACACCCGGCCCAGACCCCUACGGGGGGCCGCAGUUGGGAAUCUUCCGCAGUGGGCGACAGCCUGACGGAGCAACGCCGCGUGAGUGAUGCAGGUCUGCGGCUCGUAGAACGCUGUUAUUAGGGAAGAACAAGUGUGUAAGUAACGAUGAGCGUCUUGCCGGUACCUAAUCAGAAAGCCACGGCUAACUACGU
This 496-nucleotide ribosomal RNA is filed under the name uncultured bacterium. RNAcentral describes it as "partial 16S ribosomal RNA". It matches the Rfam family "Bacterial small subunit ribosomal RNA", at positions 28 to 506 of the family's 1533-position model. The record is from RNAcentral.